CGUGCUAAGGUAGCAUAAUCAUUUGGUUUUUAAUUGGAAUCUGGGAUGAAAGGUCAAACAAAUAUUAUUUUCUUGCUUUCAAAGCGUGAAGUUAAGAUUUUAGUAAAAACGCUGAAGUAAUUACGGGACGAUAAGACCCUAAAAGCUUUACUUUUAAAAAAUUAUUUUAUUUUUAGUGUGUAAUAAUAUAUAUAUAAGGUUUGGUUGGGGUAACAGCUCUAAAAGUAUUAGGGUAAAUUUAAUAAAAUAUUUAGUUAAAGAUCCUUAAAAUUAGGGUUAAAGUAAAAGUUACUUUAGGGGUAACAGAGUAAUUAUUUUAUGGAGCUCGUAUUUACAAAAUAGGUUGCUACCUCGAUGUUGAAUUAAGAUUUCGGCGUGGUGCAAAAGACACGUAAAGAAGGUUUGUUCAACCUUUAAUUUCUUACAUGAUCUGAGUUCAAACCGGA
RNAcentral lists this ribosomal RNA (446 nucleotides) under Spasskogammarus spasskii. Its description in RNAcentral is "partial 16S ribosomal RNA". It matches the Rfam family "Archaeal large subunit ribosomal RNA", at positions 2024 to 2689 of the family's 2987-position model. The record is from RNAcentral. Lineage: Eukaryota; Metazoa; Arthropoda; Malacostraca; Amphipoda; Anisogammaridae.